UUAUCGUUUAUUUGAUAGUACCUUACUACUUGGAUACCCGUGGUAAUUCUAGAGCUAAUACAUGCAAAAAACCCCGACUUUUGGAGGGGUGUAUUUAUUAGAUAAAAAACCAAUGCCCUUCGGGGCUCCUUGGUGAUUCAUAAUAACUUAACGGAUCGCAUGGCCUUGCGCCGGCGACGGUUCAUUCAAAUUUCUGCCCUAUCAACUUUCGAUGGUAAGGUAUUGGCUUACCAUGGUUUCAACGGGUAACGGAUUUUUAGGGAAAGAUCCCGGAGAGGCAGCCUGAGAAACGGCUACCACAUCCAAGGAAGGCAGCAGGCGCGCAAAUUACCCAAUCCUGAUACAGGGAGGUAGUGACAAUAAAUACUGAUACAGGGCUCUUUUGGGUCUUGUAAUCGGAAUGAGUACAAUUUAAAUACCUUAACGAGGAACAAUUGGAGGGCAAGUCUGGUGGACAUUCAGCUCCCAUCUGCUGACGCCAGAGAUAGCCAGGCGCCUCCGGGCGUUAUGCUGGCUAGUCGAGCACCCACCGAACUGAUGGGGGGGUGCCGGCGAGACAACCUGGAUCGGGGGAGGCUAAGGCCGCGAGGCUAUGCUAAUCCCGAGCAGAGCUGCCGCAGGGCGACCUGCGGACAGCCUGUGUAGAGCGCGGAAAGGUGUCGGUCGACUCCCCGAGUCGGCUUGAGGGACGUGCCAUUCCCGCCCGAAAGGGCGGCUGCCAGUGUGAGUGCCCAUCACACGAGCACUGGCGG
This 752-nucleotide ribosomal RNA is filed under the name Chromolaenomyces appendiculatus. Its description in RNAcentral is "SSU rRNA". The stretch from base 1 to 469 matches the Rfam family "Eukaryotic small subunit ribosomal RNA", at positions 110 to 595 of the family's 1831-position model. The record is from RNAcentral. Lineage: Eukaryota; Fungi; Ascomycota; Dothideomycetes; Pleosporales; Thyridariaceae.